CCAUUAGCUUGUUGGUGGGGUAAUGGCCUACCAAGGCGACGAUGGGUAGCCGGCCUGAGAGGGUGUACGGCCACAUUGGGACUGAGAUACGGCCCAGACUCCUACGGGAGGCAGCAGUUAAGAAUCUUGCGCAAUGGGCGAAAGCCUGGCGCAGCGACGCCGCGUGGACGAUGAAGGCCUUCGGGUUGUAAAGUCCGGUAAGCAGGGAAGAAUAAGUGUAAAGUAAUAUCUUGCACGAUGACGGUACCUGCCUAAAGCCCCGGCUAACUACGUGCCAGCAGCCGCGGUAAUACGUAUGGGGCAAGCGUUGUUCGGAAUUAUUGGGCAUAAAGGGCGUCUAGGCGGGGGACUAAGUUAGGUGUGAAAGCCAUGGGCUCAACCCAUGAAUUGCACCUAAAACUGGUUUUCUUGAGUUCGGGAGAGGAGAGCGGAAUUCCCGGUGUAGCGGUGAAAUGCGUAGAUAUCGGGAAGAACACCAGUGGCGAAGGCGGCUCUCUGGCCUAGAACUGACGCUGAAGCGCGAAAGCGUGGGGAGCGAACGGGAUUAGAUACCCCGGUAGUCCACGCCGUAAACGUUGUGUACUAGGUGUUAGUGGCUUGACCACUAGUGCCGUCGCAAACGCAUUAAGUACACCGCCUGGGGAGUACGUCCGCAAGGAUGAAACUCAAAGAAAUUGACGGGGGCCCGCACAAGCGGUGGAGCAUGUGGUUUAAUUCGAUGAUACGCGAAGAACCUUACCUGGGCUUGAACUGUACUUGAUCGGUGUAGAGAUACACCCUCCUUCGGGCAGGUGCAGAGGUGCUGCAUGGUUGUCGUCAGCUCGUGUCGUGAGAUGUUGGGUUAAGUCCCGCAACGAGCGCAACCCUUACCCCUUGUUGCCAUCAGGUAAUGCUGAGCACUCUAGGGGAACUGUCGGUGAUAAACCGGAGGAAGGUGGGGAUGACGUCAAAUCAUCACGGCCCUUAUGUCCAGGGCUACACACGUGCUACAAUGGCCGGUACAAUGAGUUGCGAGACCGCGAGGUGGAGCUAAUCUCAAAAAACCGGUCUCAGUUCGGAUUGCAGUCUGCAACUCGACUGCAUGAAGCUGGAAUCGCUAGUAAUCGCGGAUCAGCACGCUGCGGUGAUACGUUCCCGGGCCUUGUACACACCGCCCGUCACACCACCCGAGUUGGCAGCACCCGAAGUGGCUGAUCUAACUUCGUGAGGAAGGUUACUAAGG
RNAcentral lists this ribosomal RNA (1222 nucleotides) under uncultured organism. RNAcentral describes it as "bacterial SSU rRNA". It matches the Rfam family "Bacterial small subunit ribosomal RNA", at positions 238 to 1462 of the family's 1533-position model. The record is from RNAcentral.